UACGAAGGGUGCAAGCGUUACUCGGAAUUACUGGGCGUAAAGCGUGCGUAGGUGGUUUUUUAAGUCCGUUAUGAAAGCCCUGGGCUCAACCUGGGAAUUGCAGUGGAUACUGGCGAGCUAGAGUGCGGUAGAGGAUGGUGGAAUUCCCGGUGUAGCGGUGAAAUGCGUAGAGAUCGGGAGGAACACCCGUGGCGAAGGCGGCCAUCUGGACCAGCACUGACGCUGAGGCACGAAAGCGUGGGGAGCAAACGGG
This 253-nucleotide ribosomal RNA is filed under the name uncultured bacterium. RNAcentral describes it as "partial 16S ribosomal RNA". It matches the Rfam family "Bacterial small subunit ribosomal RNA", at positions 524 to 776 of the family's 1533-position model. The record is from RNAcentral.